Molecule: ribosomal RNA, 282 nt
Filed under: uncultured Lysobacterales bacterium
Lineage: Bacteria; Pseudomonadati; Pseudomonadota; Gammaproteobacteria; Lysobacterales
Description: uncultured Xanthomonadales bacterium partial 16S ribosomal RNA
Rfam family: Bacterial small subunit ribosomal RNA
Source: RNAcentral
UGUGCCAGCAGCCGCGGUAAUACGAAGGGUGCAAGCGUUAUUCGGAAUUAUCUGGGCGUAAAGCGUGCGUAGGUGGUUCGUUAAGUCUGAUGUGAAAGNCCCUGGGCUCAACCUGGGAUUUGCAUUGGAUACUGGGCGGGCUAGAGUUCGGUAGAGGAUAUUGGAAUUCCUGGUGUAGCAGUGAAAUGCGUAGAGAUCAGGAGGAACAUCCGUGGCGAAGGCGAAUACCUGGACCAGUACUGACACUGAGGCACGAAAGCGUGGGGAGCAAACAGGAUUAGA